UGGGAAGGAAGGUUUGCCCACUCUGAGU
RNAcentral lists this non-coding RNA (28 nucleotides) under Mus musculus (house mouse). Lineage: Eukaryota; Metazoa; Chordata; Mammalia; Rodentia; Muridae. The record is from RNAcentral.